RNAcentral lists this ribosomal RNA (449 nucleotides) under uncultured bacterium. RNAcentral describes it as "partial 16S ribosomal RNA". It matches the Rfam family "Bacterial small subunit ribosomal RNA", at positions 354 to 796 of the family's 1533-position model. The record is from RNAcentral.
GUCGAGAAUCUUUCACAAUGGGGGCAACCCUGAUGGAGCGACGCCGCGUGGAGGAUAAGGUCUUCGGAUUGUAAACUCCUGUCAUGCGUGAACAAGGUUGCUUGGUUAAUACCUGGGCAAAUUGAUGGUAACGCAAGAGGAAGAGACGGCUAACUCUGUGCCAGCAGCCGCGGUAAUACAGAGGUCUCAAGCGUUGUUCGGAAUCACUGGGCGUAAAGGGUGCGUAGGUGGCGUGGUAAGUCAGAUGUGAAAGCUCGGGGCUCAACCUCGGAACUGCAUCCGAUACUGCCAUGCUAGAGUACUGGAGAGGUGACUAGAAUUCUCGGUGUAGCAGUGAAAUGCGUAGAUAUCGAGAGGAAUACCAAAGGCGUAGGCAGGUCACUGGACAGUUACUGACACUGAGGCACGAAGGCCAGGGGAGCGAACGGGAUUAGAUACCCUAGUAGUCC